This is a non-coding RNA of Meleagris gallopavo (turkey), 2152 nucleotides long. The record is from RefSeq and is a predicted model, not a curated record. NCBI's taxonomy places the organism in Eukaryota, Metazoa, Chordata, Aves, Galliformes, Phasianidae.
GAAACAGAAGGCAGCUUACAGAUACACCUGUAUUACUUAAAUGCUUCAGCUUGCAGCAAGGAACUGGGCAGAAAAGAUUUUAUGGAAGGAUGCUAGCACAAGCAGCCAAGGACUAGGCUUGUGGAGGGAGGAAUAUUUCAUACUGUCUACAUGAGAAGCAGAAGCAAAAAAGAGACAGCUAAAACAUAAAAGCAUGACUUUGUAAUAGAGCUGAUGGACUUGGCCUUGCUCUCUUCAGAGAUACUUGGCCUUGCCUAGACAGCUCCCUCUGAGCGUGGAGCAAGAGCUGCUAACAAGCUCCUGCUGGGUGCAAACAAGCAAGCCACCUUCUUGCAAGAUGUGUUGACACAGAAUUUGUGGUUUCUUCACAACAUGUAAGACAUUCUUGCAAGCUAAUACACACAAAAUGCUUCCCACACGCAGGAAAAGAGGCUAAAUAAGGACAGGAGAACUCAAUACAUGUAUGCUAGUACUGCACGAGAACAAAGAACUGAGGAACCAACAGACUGGUUUCUCUCCCCAGUGACAAAGUUGGCUGUCUCGGAUUUAAUGCUAAGCUGCUGAACAAUGGCAAAGAAAGGGCAGGUUUCCCACUGCUCAUGAGGAAUGAAAUCUUUGCUGAGAGCGCAGAAGCCACAUUCUUUAGCAAAUUAGAUGCAUCAGCUAGGAUUUGGCAGAACCUCCUGAAUGCACUCCUAACCACUUACUGAGGCUGUCUUUCAAGAGGUAUUACACAAUUGCAGACCACGAAAAGGCUAAAAGCCAUGAACUGUGGCAAACAAGGAUGAGUGACAAGGAGCCACCAAAGACCGGACAAUUACUUUUCUUCUGAAAAGUAUUAUUUGGACUGAAUUGGGAACAUUAAUUGGUAUUUAUUGAUGUUUUCCUCAAGCAAAAGAGUUGGCCUACAUUCCUGCAUGAUACAGCAGAGAAUUUUCUCUUUCUGGCAGUGCCUAGCCUUCCUUAAGAUAUCUGUAUAUUUUACUCCUCUUCCUGCAUCCUUUUUCCUCUUCUGCCACGUCUGGCAGUUUCCAGAGCAGCACAGAUAGCUGUGGACAACUUCAACUGCAUCAUUUCUAGGUUUCUGAAAUGAAGAUGUCAGUGCAUGUAAGCUUGAAUUAGCUGCAAGAUCUCUGAGAUGGACACCAUCACUUCUGACACACAACUUCCACACCCCACACAAGGACCCAGGCGGAGCACUGCCAUGGCAGAAACCUUCAGAUUUUCUUCCCUUGCAGCACUGGGUGCUGUCAGCUCACCCAGAGUACAGCAAGUGCUGCUAGUAGCAGUGAGAUUCCCCUCCCCUCCCACAGCAACUUGUUAUCCUGCUGCACUCUUGGCUCUCUCAGGACGGGCUCGGUAGGAGGGAAGGCAGCAGUUUGCCCCACUCUAUUCCCUGCUCCCAGCCUGGCCUCAGCUGUGCCAAUACUCAGCCUUGGGAAGGCAAUAGCCUGCUCCCAGCCAGCCUGUAAACAAGGCAAGAGCUGUUGCAGGAGAUAAAGGAGGACUCACACAGCACCAGAGCUAUGGGCAGAGGGAAGGAGCCACCUACAUGGCAGGCUGAAAAAUGAUAAAAAAAAGAACAAGAUGCAACUUGUUUUUAAGGUAAAGAAGAGUUGGAAAACAAGAAUCGUAAUGGAGGAGAGCUUUUGAUUUUCCAGGGGACACCAGAAUACUGAAUUCCUGUCACUGUCCAGUAUUGAAAGCAUCUGCCAUUCCAUGCUAAUUAGGUAUGCCCCAUGCUUAGAGCCCACGGAAGAGCAUGGUAUAAAUAUCCCAGGAUGCUCAGUGAUGCUGUGUUGUCAGCUCAUGACAGAUCCAGCCGUAAAAGCGUGUGGAAAGAACACGAUGUUACAUCAUUGUGUAUUGACAAUAAGAGUAUACAUAAUAAAGAAGAAGAGUGAGAGAUCCGUGAACAGUAAGAAAUGGAUCAUGGCUAGUAUUGCUGAAAGCAGGUAGAAUGGGUUACAAGGCUGGAAAAUGAAAAGUGAUGAUGACAACCUGCCUAGUAAGGGAAAAAUGGGGGAAAAAAAAAGCAGGAAGGUGUAGCUCUGUAUAUAAAAAUAAUGGUGCUACUGGCUAUAGAUACUUCCAAAUCACCAUGUUUUGAUAUUACUGCUGUAACUAAUAAAACUUGCUUAGUAUUGGUUGA